AAGAUGAACCUGAUGAUGCGACAGUUGAUGUUGCAGUCUCCGCCCUAGCCCCCUCAGUAGGGCACUGUGAGUCACCUUUCUUCUAUCUUGUUCUAAAACAUUGAGGCCAAUGUUUGGUUCAAGUGUGGAGGAGGUUUAAUUAUUCUUUUAGUUUUAUGUUUUUUAUUUUCAAUUUUUUUAUGUUUUAUUUUAUUAUUUCCCUUUUUUUUACUGUUUUACAUUUGUUUUUUUUUCUAUUGGGUAUCAUUUGCUACAUAUGUUCCAGGUUCUUGGUGUUCUUGUUGGAUUAGGUGAUGACCAUUAGUGGUAGUGGAUGAAAUGAUCACUCCACUUAUUAUUGCUUGUUGUGAAGGAUCUUCCAAAAAAGUUGAUACUGCUGAAGAAAAGAUCGAACACAACUUUUCAAGCUCAACUAACGUAGGUUCCCUGUGCAUUCCGAGUUGAGUAGGAAGCCAUACCAUACUAGAAGUAAUGUGGAUGUUGUCAAGCUUUACCUAAC
Molecule: long non-coding RNA, 499 nt
Filed under: Lathyrus oleraceus (garden pea)
Lineage: Eukaryota; Viridiplantae; Streptophyta; Magnoliopsida; Fabales; Fabaceae
Description: Pisum sativum (pea) long non-coding RNA (PSAT_LNC031606)
Source: RNAcentral